Long non-coding RNA from Xiphias gladius (swordfish), 855 nucleotides. RefSeq lists it as uncharacterized. The transcript has 4 exons. The record is from RefSeq and is a predicted model, not a curated record. Lineage: Eukaryota; Metazoa; Chordata; Actinopteri; Istiophoriformes; Xiphiidae.
UUUUUUUUCAGGAGACUGGAUAAUUCAACGCAGACAGAGCCAGACUGGAGUUUUUUUUUACCUGCAGAAAGCACAAUCUUAAACGGCCAUAGACAAGUGCAGAAUUUUAGCUUCCAUUUUUUUUGUCUGGAAGACUUUUGUUUCCUCAAGCUCUUCUCGUUAAUUAUACAGUUUGAACGCCACCGCUGAAAAGACGUUUUUGUGCCUUUACUGCUUGACCAACCAGACACCUGCUGCAGGGCCAAUGCUGGAGACGCCGACGACCAUCACCAAACUUCUCACUAAAUGAGGCUGCAGGCUCUGGAUUCUAGAAAUGUGAAAUCUUCUCUGGACCGACGCGCCUACCGACAGCCUACCUUUCAGGUGCGGGGGGCCCACGGUAGACACGGCAGGGGACGAGGCCUGGCCGAAGCACUUGAAGGAGGUCUGCUCUCCAGAGGAGUCGUCUGAAGCCCCGUUCUCCUUUUUCUGCUGCUCCUCGUAUGAACGCAUGGAUUGCAGAGCCAGCUGUUUCCUGUGCAGGGGUACUCGGGUUAUUAUGAGCGGUGGUCACAGCUCACAGGUCAGAAGCCAUAUCAGCCGCUGCACGAAUAGCAUGGACGACUGUUUAGGCUGGAGACCUGAAGCGAUGAAGACCCUGACUGACUCACCUACGCGGCAGGUCGAGCCCCAAACCUGAGGCUAAUUUCUGCAGGUUUGCAAUACAUCAACAGGCUGAUACUGCUACAGCAGCGAGGCUUUGGAGAUAAAGGACACAGAAAACAAAGAAUACAGGCGCACACAGGAGUCACGAGUUCCCACUUUGGCACGUUUUUCCAUGCGAGUGAAAUAUGCUGGGGUUUUUUUUUUUUUUUU